GGAUGCGAUCAUACCAGCACUAAAGCACCGGAUCCCAUCAGAACUCCGAAGUUAAGCGUGCGGGUGACCUCCUGGGAAGUCCUCGUGUUGCAUUCC
Molecule: ribosomal RNA, 96 nt
Filed under: Triticum aestivum (bread wheat)
Lineage: Eukaryota; Viridiplantae; Streptophyta; Magnoliopsida; Poales; Poaceae
Source: RNAcentral